RNAcentral lists this ribosomal RNA (287 nucleotides) under uncultured bacterium. RNAcentral's name for it is "partial 16S ribosomal RNA". It matches the Rfam family "Bacterial small subunit ribosomal RNA", at positions 524 to 805 of the family's 1533-position model. The record is from RNAcentral.
UACGUAGGUGGCAAGCGUUGUCCGGAUUUACUGGGCGUAAAGGGAGCGUAGGCGGAUAUUUAAGUCAGAUGUGAAAUACCCGAGCUUAACUUGGGUGCUGCAUUUGAAACUGGAUAUCUGGAGUGCAGGAGAGGAAAGUGGAAUUCCUAGUGUAGCGGUGAAAUGCGUAGAGAUUAGGAAGAACACCAGUGGCGAAGGCGGCUUCCUGGACGACCAACCUGACGCUGGAGACCGCGAAAGCGUGGGGAGAAACAGGAUUGAAGAACCCUUGGUAGUCCAAGAACCAA